ACAUAUCUUCUGAUAUUUGUGUGUAUUUCCUGCAUGAAUUGUUCUCACUCAGCUAACUGUGCCAGUGUACAGUAACACUCUGAGGGAAAUAUUUCUGGCAUCUCUGAUACUGAUGGAAGUUUUCUGCAUGAUGACAGGCACCUUUGAGUUUAGACUUCUGUUUGCAUUUAAUCAAAUCUUUCAAGCUCUAAGAAUCUUUAGGCCAAAAUUAGAGGGGAUCUGAUUUUUCUUCCUUGCCCUUCCAGGUUAAUUUUAAGCCUAGCAUUAAUAGAUUUUCCAAAGUCAUAAAUUGAAGACUUGCUCCCUGUAGAGUGGUGAAGAAAAGAUGCAACAGCUGAAUGUGGUAGUUGGGCUUGGGACAGAUGGCAUGCAAGAGCAAAUGUUCCAAGGUAGUUCAGAAGGGAGGAGACUGGACAAAACUGUUUAGCAAAUAUUGUGUUAGAACUAAAGACUUGCUGAAGUAUCCAUAGGAAUGCCAAAGUAGAGCACACUUUUUUACCAAACUGCAGUUUAUUAAUUGCUUGUGCAGGAGCAAAAUCUGUAAUAAAAUACUAAAGAGGGAGAUGGUAAAGCAGGGCCUUGAAUCUGUUUUUGUUGGUUUCCGUAAAAGGGGCUUGCUUGCUUUUUCCUGGCAUUCUCUCCAAGAAUUUAUAUAGAAAAUAUUUUUUUCCAUAACCGCAGUGAACAGCCUUCAAUUGUCUGGCAGCCGUUUGCAUACUUGAGGUUUCCUUCCCUCUCUGAAGUUUAACUCUGCAGGAGCUUGUGCUGCUGCCGAAUUGGAUCUUUCUUCUGGUCUUUUGUGUCCCUAGCCCAGGUUCUGUGGAAGUUGGACUGUUGAAAGUGGCUGCAGCAUGUCUCACUUGAGUAAAGGGCAAAGAUGAGCCUCAGUAUUGUAGUGCUAAUAAGUAGCAGUGAGAAUAAAAUGGAGUACUCCUGUAGCUCUUUACAUCUUCAAAGUGCUCCACUGAUACUAAUUAAUCUGCCCAAGUAGCCUUGUGACAAAGGUAUGUGUUUGUACUAUAUGUGAUUUAACUCUUCUAUAUUGUUCUGCAAUAAAAAAAACCUGGAUGCUUCUUCAGAUAAAAAUCAGGAAAUCAGUUAACCAACCUCAGCAAUUAAGGCGAACUUCAAAGCUAUCUCACUUCUUUUGGUUAGCUUUAGCAUACUUUUGGGAACCUCAAGUAUUUGUGCAAAGCAGCAUGGUGUCAAGCAUUCAGCGGAGUGGCCCCAAUGUUAUGCAAUAGUUUGUUUCCAUUUAUAUACACCAGUGUGUAUGGCUUUCACCAUUUCUUAACCCAACGCAGAGGAUGUGGUCCCAGUGCCACUGGAACCAAAGUUAAACCUGGGCGCCGUGCUGGUCUUAAUUGAAGAGCCCCAGUUUGUGUGCUGCUGGUGCCCUGCCGUCCUUAAUAUAUUGUAUGUGUACACUGCCACAGCAGAAAACAAACUCAUGCUGUGUGUAGCUGCAGUGCUGGCAUGUCAAGGAAGAACACAUAAGCUCUGUUAUAACUGCAGGAUUUCAAUGCCUUUCUGUGCAGUUAAGUCAUCUGCUCCCAGUACUCCAGUGUCUGCCGUCUUCUGUCUGCAUCUACUGCUAGCUUGAACUUGAGCAAGUCAUCAGUAGAAAGGUGGAUAUUGCUUAGAAGAAAGAUCACCCUGACUGUAUAGUCCUAAUGCUGAGCUCUGAAAGACCUAUUUCCUCUCAGGAAAGGGUUUGAGGUCACUGUGGACAGAUUUCUGAAAAUACAAGCUCAGUGCUGUAUUUUCAGCAGAUCAGAAGACAAAUAGAGGGGUUGGAAUGGACAAGAGGGGUUGCUAUGUCACUGAAUGGAUCCAGUUUACAACCACAUCUUGAGUCUGCUUGUCCCAUUCUCAUCAGUCCUUUUUGAGCCCAAAAGAGCAAUUGUAGAGCUAGAAAAGAUUCAGAGGAUGACGUGGUAUGGAGGUGCAUCUGUAUAAAGAGAGACUGAUUACUUGAAAACAGUUCAACCUGGAAAAGAUACCAAUGGAGGGAACUUUAGUAAGGGCUAUGAAUGGCACACAGAAGAACAACAAGAGCAAUAACGUUGCAUAGAAGUCAGGGUGUACCCUUUGAAACGAUUGAGGUAAAAGGAAGUGCUUUUUCACAGUGUUAAAAGAGAACUGUGCAGCAAAUUGGCACAGGAUGUUCUGGAUGCCAAAACAGAAAUGUGUUCAAAAAGUGAUUAGACAGAUUAAUGGUAGAGAGGGCCAGCAAGGACUAUUAAACACACUACCCCAGAAUCAGCUGCUGGUUUGCAAGAGAUAAAAGAGAGAAAUAUCAGUCUAACCUAACCACAAGGGUGCUUGUUACACUUUCCCUAGCAAUUUUCAGGUAGGUGACUUGUGGCUCUGGUUUAUUAAGGCUACUUAUGUAUGUUAUGCCAAACACAGUCUAGCAUACAAUUUUUGUAGUGUUGUGCCAAGAUAUGUGCUACUGCAAGUAAAACAUGACAUGUGCUGCCAAAGCAAUCACAUUCUGAAAACAGUGCAGCACACUUCACACUGUACAAAAUCUUUUUCCUUUAAGAGGGGAAGACCUGCCCACCUGCCUUUGUGUGUGUUAUCCCUUCUCAGGAGUGGAGCCUUCCUCUCUGAAAAUUUCCAGUGUGUAAGUAAGCACUUCAGCAAACCAGAGGAAAACCUGACCUCUCUCUGUUGAUUGCAACCGGAUGUUUCAUUUUCUCAAAAUUACAAUUUCAACUUAAGAAUUAAUCCAGAUGUUUUUAUUCCUUGCACCAAUAAGAAAAUGCAUCCGUGGCACUAGAAUCUAAAAACAGACAAUAUUUAUCAAGAAACAAAACUCAUUCAUACUCAGGUUCAGUAGAAGUUUCAUUAAAAUAUUGUCCUUGUUCUGUUCUGCAGAAGGGAAAGUGGUUUUACACAGAGAUUACGUGAGCCCUGCACUGAUCUAACAGUCCUGCGCUUCUUUUUGAAUGUUUGACUGUUGUCACAGAACUGAAGUUGAUGUCUCCUCCCCAUCUCCCACGUGGAAGAGAAGCUGCAGUCCUCAUGGGCUCCCUGCAUGGCUCAAGAAUUUCCCAGAUGAUUCUCCAGAGUGGUGAGGAUGUUGAAACUGAGGAAGUUGUGUUGAGGAUUAACACUGUUUUACCAGGAUCUGUCUCUAAAUUGUAAUGUGUAAAAUAACAAGCAUGUAUUUUAGAAUUGCUGCUGUGAUACAGUCGUGUGCUAGAUUUUGGUUAUUGCGUGUCCCUGAGGAGAGAAAGAGAAUGUCAGCUAAAAUAUUAAAUGCUUUGUUAGUGAUUGCCAGCAUGCUUGAAAAGCUGAGGCUCAUGGAAGGAGUGGGUUUUCAGCAACAGGGCCACACUAUGCAAGACUACCCUGCUCUGGUGGUUACACUAGCUGUUACAAAUCCUGCUCUAAUGAGGGUAACAUGCCUAGGGGAUAUAAAUAGAAUAAACCUGCUGUGCUCACAUAUUAGAAGCCUGUAACUCAGUGGCUCUGUCAUAUACAUGAAUUAUGUAAGUGCCAUUUUGGAAAUCAUCGCCUCACUUCUGACUGCUCCAUGACAGGAAACAAACUCCAUGGGUGUGUAGGAGUCCUGCAGGCCUCCUGCUCCUGUCUGCUUCAUGGACUGGGCUCUUGCCAUAAGACUUUGCAUCUCUCUUUGUACCUCCUGCUUUGUUUUUAUUGCAAGGGAGCAAGAUAGAAAAGAGCCUGUGCAGCUCUAUAAAUGAGGGCAAAUAAUAAGCAGAUACAGAAGCUCUGUGAUUUGGUGGGAGUAUCUGUAACAAAGCUGGGGCUAUGAAACUGGCAUUUCUAGUGUCUGCUUUGAACCAAUUUUAUUCCACUGUGGAACAAAGAAUUCAUCUUUUUCUAUGGAAAAGAUGGCAGUAUUAGGAAAAUCCAUGCUGUACAUUUACUGAUAGCGUUAUUCUAUCAUAGCAUUAACUGCUGUAUUAUAGCAGCAGAGGUACUUCUGAAGUUUUGAAACAGCAAAGUGUGACAGCCUCUAUCUGUCACCCUUCACUAAUCAACACUGUAGCUCUUUACCAUCUGGGUUUUAGAGAAUCUCUCAUAAUUUAGGCUCCAUCCUUGCAAACAGAUGGCCACAUUGUGUGAUGUCCCUGCUGAAGUGCCUGCUGGGAUCUAUACAGACCUGUUGGGACAGAUGCAUGGGUUUGCUCAGCCUGCUGGCAUGCACGUCUUGCACUUAUGUGGAAGGUGGUUCUAAGAGAAAGAACAAACAUGGAGGCUGCCUGAUACCCUGUAGGCCAAGCCCUUCCCCAGCCACAGCACCAGUGCCGGUGCUGGCUCAUCUCUGUCUGGGGUUGGGGGUGAACAAGCAAAGGCCCGCAGGCUAAGAAAGCCAUGCUCUGUGAAAUCUAGCUGGGCUGCUUGGUUUCUAGAGGCUGGUCAGUAAACAAGAUUGCUUGAGCCCAUUUUGAGGUGCUAGAAACUGGUUUAUCUGAAACCUGCUGCUGAGUAAACAUUCUUCAAGUCAGAAACUGAUGAAAACAAAACAGUGACUUGGGUGCAGUGAGCUGGGCGCUGGUUGUUCUGGUGUGUGUUUCUGUGUUGCCAGCUUGCACUGCAGUAUCCAGGCCAUUCAGGUGGUCUGGACAGUCGCUGGGUGCUGCUGUCAGUGGUGCUCAGGCAGCUGGGGCAGCACUGGAGGCAGCGUGUCACACGUGGCCUGUCACUGCUGGGGCAGGCAGUAAGCAGGCUCUGGCAGCUCGCGCUCACCCCAGCUGAUCUCAGCCAGGCUGCAGCUCAGCCGUGUGCCUGAAGACGGGCUGUGGGGAUGUGCCAUGAAGAUGGUCCCUCUGGCUUUCAUGGGAGAAGGAACAGAUCUGUUGAGAGGCCGUGGUGCCACCCUUACUUUCCGUCUGGUAUCUCUGGAGGAGCCUUCAUGUAUGAAACCACUAAGGCAUCUGCUUUUACCUUAUAUCAAUGCAUCUAUGAUAAAAGCCACGUGUGACCUUUUCUUCUUUUUUAGAGGAAGAGGCCCAUCUGGCCUUGAGUUAAUGCUUUUCCUUUCUCAAAUCCUGUUUUUCUAAGCGUCUCACCAAAAAACUCAGAUUGUUUUUAGGACAAAUAUCUAGAGACCAACUCUGCUCUGAUGAAAUAGGAACCAAAACUUCCCUCAGUGCCCAGCGGCCACACACAGCUGGCACCAGCAGCACUGUGCCCAUUGCCCAGCCCUGGGCUGCACAGAAGUGCUGUGAGAGCUCUGGCUCUGACUGAUAGAACAGCGACAGGGAAAUUGUGUAACAUGCCAUAGGCUGGGAGAGUCUGAGAGGUUAACAGAGAAUCUGCUUAUGGUUUGUUGUCACUGCCAGGUCUUGCUGGAAAGGAAGCCCAGCACCACCUUCAAAGGGAGCACCAAAGGUGCUACUGAGUGUUUGGUACCGUUUCCCUGCAUGCGUCUCCUUCAGCUGCUGUCUCAAGAACGCAGCAUCGAGUGCUGCUCUGAGGUUUUAUGAGCAAGUGCAGAGGCAGGAAAGGCUCUUUCUCAUAUAUGCUGCACCAUGAUUUCUGUGUGUGAUGUACGGUGUAGAGCAGUCCUGGCUGUUUGCUGCACCCCUGGUGCACAGCAUUACUGGGAGAGCCCCUCCAGCAUUCCCAUCUCGGGUGGCUGGACAAGAGUUUCUUGGAGUUACUUUCUGAUACUGUGUCCGCUGUGUAAAUAACAGUAAGCAUAGAGUGGUGUCCUCUCUGCUAUCACCUUUCUUAAAAAUCCAAGGCUUGGAGCAAAAACAGCCAGAAGUAGGAGCCUCUGUUUUUAGUUUGAGACAUGUCUCUUUAAAGCUCUGCUGUGGUUGGGUCCAUCUGUGCUUGUUAUUCCUUUGCUAACCAAAAAUCCCAAGCUGAGGAUAAACUGCUUUGCAGUUGUAGUGAGAUAGAAGAGGCCCUGGGCUGUGGCAGAGCCAGAACUUCUGCUUGGGAUAAAAACUAUUUGAGUAACUUGGAACUGUAGAGCUGGCUCACUUCACUGUGCUGCCUUCAGAUGGCUGGACAUUGUGCUGAGUCAGCAGUGUGCUCCACAGCUUGUGGUGUUCCUUGGCUGUGCCUCAGGCAGGAACAUGCCUUUCCACUGAAGCCCUUCCAUCCUUUCUUUUCAGUUUACUCACAGAUCACAUUUCCCUGCUAACUUUUAUUCUGCUUUUGUGACUGGCUGCUGUGGCAGUGUCUCUUCUUCCUUCCCAGGAAUUGUGGAGGGCUAAUAUGGAUUUCGUCACAGCAAUGCCUUUAUCUCUGAUUGCCUGUCACUGAUGGAGAAACCCCAGCAGCUUCAGUAGGUCUGGUAACAUUCCAGUUUUGUUUCCCUUGUUCCAUGCACACACGUUCUUCUUGCUCCUAACAGCUAUGGGGACUGUCCUCUGACUCAUGUGCCCAGCUGCAAAGGCAGGGAUUUUGCUGAGUGCCAAAAAGCUCUUGUGUUUCUCCUACAGUGACUGGGUUCCAGGUUCUGCUCAAAGGAGCAGAAAGACCCAAUUUCAGCCAGUUGGAUUUCCUGAACCAGCCACCCCUGCUGGAAUGGCCACACAGUGCUGCCGUGUUUGGGUCUCAACACCUUCAGGCUGGAACCUGCAAGGAAACCUUUCUGGCAACUAAUCCCCACACAUCAUGUUUGGGAGUCCUUUAGGGAACAGCUGUGACCCCAGAAACUCCCCUGCCUGCAUGUGUUUUCUCCAAGUGAGCAUUCAGACUGCUGCUCUUUCUGCUGUUUUUUCAAAUUUUAACAAGUCCUUGGCAACAGAAGUACUUAGCAAAAAAAAAAAAAAAAA
This is a non-coding RNA of Phasianus colchicus (ring-necked pheasant), 6770 nucleotides long. The record is from RefSeq and is a predicted model, not a curated record. Lineage: Eukaryota; Metazoa; Chordata; Aves; Galliformes; Phasianidae.